Molecule: RNase P RNA, 362 nt
Filed under: Paludibacter sp.
Lineage: Bacteria; Pseudomonadati; Bacteroidota; Bacteroidia; Bacteroidales; Paludibacteraceae
Description: RNase P RNA component class A
Rfam family: Bacterial RNase P class A
About the family: Ribonuclease P (RNase P) is a ubiquitous endoribonuclease, found in archaea, bacteria and eukarya as well as chloroplasts and mitochondria. Its best characterised activity is the generation of mature 5'-ends of tRNAs by cleaving the 5'-leader elements of precursor-tRNAs.
Source: RNAcentral
ACAGUAGGCUGGUUUGUCGCACCACCACUGGUGGGGAGGAAAGUCCGGGCAACACAGAGCACCAUAUUUCCUAACGGGAAGCAGUCCGCGAGGGUUGAGUAGUGUAACAGAGAAUAAUUUCAAGUUCGCAAGAACGUGUAAAGGUGAAAAGGUGAGGUAAGAGCUCACCGGUACUACUGGCAACAGUGGUAGCCGUACGCCUUAUGGGUUGCAAGAUCAUGUAUACCGGCGCAUGUAGGAUGGCUCGUCCGAUGCCGGGGGGUAGAUUGCUAGAGGUGCAAGGCGACUUGUACCCAAGAUAAAUGACAGACAUUUUGGCGCAAGCCGAAAAACAGAACCCGGCUUAUAGGCCUACUGCUUUU